Molecule: long non-coding RNA, 638 nt
Organism: Culex pipiens pallens (northern house mosquito)
Lineage: Eukaryota; Metazoa; Arthropoda; Insecta; Diptera; Culicidae
Exons: 3
Source: RefSeq, a predicted model, not a curated record
CAUACGCGCAUAAUACUGGCAUGGUAUGGUCAACUUUUUGAUACGAUUUAUAUCAGUGUAGUUGUCAAAAUCGUUCAAAAUAGUAAACAAGGCUUGAUUCUAAGCUAGAUUGCUCUCAACACAAGUUUUUUUUCGGGAAUUUGAAUAUUAAUAUGUGGAUAUUUCAUAUAAUUGUGGAAAAAAGAUCAGUUGGCCUUACAGGACGAAGUCGAGCGGCUAUAUAUUAUUUUAUUUAUUAAUUUUAUAAGAUCCGUGCGAAUUGCAAGUCCACUUGAAUGUACUCUUGUGAAAAAUCUCCGUUCGAAUCAUUUGGAACCUGCAAAUUCAAGUUUUCACACAAUCUUUGGUAGAGAAGGUUUCUGCUCGAACCUAGGAAUCCGAAGGCUUGAAUGGGGAGGGCACCCAAACCUCUUUCUACUCCAAGGAACCUUCCACCCCAGGGUACGAACUGACGACCUUUGGAUUGCGAGUCCAAUCACCGCCAGCGAUUCCACCGGAGCAGGUUUGGUUUGGUGUGUUGUUUGUACUUACGGCAUGGAGACGACUCCUGCACCUGGAACGACUUAACGGCCUAACAACCAAGGCCGGGACCGACGUUUUACUUCCUCAUUCGAUAGAAGGUUGGAGCAGAUGGGAAU